RNAcentral lists this small RNA (892 nucleotides) under uncultured Acidimicrobiales bacterium. RNAcentral's name for it is "bacterial SSU rRNA". The stretch from base 1 to 492 matches the Rfam family "Bacterial small subunit ribosomal RNA", at positions 1045 to 1533 of the family's 1533-position model. Lineage: Bacteria; Bacillati; Actinomycetota; Acidimicrobiia; Acidimicrobiales. The record is from RNAcentral.
AUGGCUGUCGUCAGCUCGUGUCGUGAGAUGUUGGGUUAAGUCCCGCAACGAGCGCAACCCUUGUCCUAUGUUGCCAGCGGGUAAUGCCGGGGACUCGUAGGAGACUGCCGGGGUCAACUCGGAGGAAGGUGGGGAUGACGUCAAGUCAUCAUGCCCCUUACGUCCAGGGCUGCACACAUGCUACAAUGGCCGGUACAAAGGGCUGCUAUUCCGCGAGGAUGAGCGAAUCCCAAAAAGCCGGUCUCAGUUCGGAUCGCAGUCUGCAACUCGACUGCGUGAAGUCGGAGUCGCUAGUAAUCCCGGAUCAGCAACGCCGGGGUGAAUACGUUCCCGGGCCUUGUACACACCGCCCGUCACACCACGAAAGUCGGCAACACCCGAAGCCGGUGGCCCAACCCGUAAGGGAGGGAGCCGUCGAAGGUGGGGUCGGUGAUUGGGGUGAAGUCGUAACAAGGUAGCCGUACCGGAAGGUGCGGCUGGAUCACCUCCUUUCUAAGGAGUACGCCUCUCACGAGGCACCUGCGACGCUCGAGCCAUCUGGUUCGGGUCGGUCAGGAUCUCCCAGUUGAUGCGCUAGCUACUCGGCCUCGACGGCACCAACACGGUGGUAGAUCUCGGUCUCCCGUGUCGUCUGCCCGAGUGGCCGUUGUCCUCUAUUCCGUUUUGAGGGAGUCACCCUCGACCAGGUCGUGCCCCCCCAUGGGGGCCGACCUCUUCGCGUCCCUUGAGAAUUGCAUAGCGAGCACGAGCAUCUUUGUUCUUCCAAGCUACAAAGAGCCAACGGUGGAUGCCUUGGCGUCUACUACCGAUGAAGGACGUGGGUGGCUGCGAAAAGCCACGGGGAGGCGCCUACCAGCCUUUGAUCCGUGGAUAUCCGAAUGGGGAAACCCGG